AGGGGCGUAGCUCCAAUUGGUAGAGCGACGGAUUCCAAAUCCGUAGGUUUAGGGUUCGAAUCCCUACGCCCCUG
This 74-nucleotide transfer RNA is filed under the name Planctomycetota bacterium. RNAcentral's name for it is "Planctomycetes bacterium (activated sludge metagenome) tRNA-Trp". It matches the Rfam family "tRNA". From Rfam's summary of the family: Transfer RNA (tRNA) molecules are approximately 80 nucleotides in length. Their secondary structure includes four short double-helical elements and three loops (D, anti-codon, and T loops). Further hydrogen bonds mediate the characteristic L-shaped molecular structure. tRNAs have two regions of fundamental functional importance: the anti-codon, which is responsible for specific mRNA codon recognition, and the 3' end, to which the tRNAs corresponding amino acid is attached (by aminoacyl-tRNA synthetases). tRNAs cope with the degeneracy of the genetic code in two manners: having more than one tRNA (with a specific anti-codon) for a particular amino acid; and 'wobble' base-pairing, i.e. permitting non-standard base-pairing at the 3rd anti-codon position. Lineage: Bacteria; Pseudomonadati; Planctomycetota. The record is from RNAcentral. RNAcentral also lists the same sequence under 1 other name.